GACGAACGCUGGCGGCGUGCCUAAUACAUGCAAGUUGAGCGCUGAAGGUUGGUACUUGUACCAACUGGAUGAGCAGCGAACGGGUGAGUAACGCGUGGGGAAUCUGCCUUUGAGCGGGGGACAACAUUUGGAAACGAAUGCUAAUACCGCAUAAAAACUUUAAACACAAGUUUUAAGUUUGAAAGAUGCAAUUGCAUCACUCAAAGAUGAUCCCGCGUUGUAUUAGCUAGUUGGUGAGGUAAAGGCUCACCAAGGCGAUGAUACAUAGCCGACCUGAGAGGGUGCGAGGCAUCGUUGGGACGGGAACACGACCCAAACUACUGCGGGAGGCAGCAGUCGGGGAUCCUCGGCGAUGGACGCAAGGCUGACCGAGCAACGCCGCGUGAGUGAAGGAGGUUUUCGGGUCGUAAAACUCUGUUAGUAGAGAAGAAUGUUGGUGAGAGUGGAAAGCUCUGCAAGUGACGGUAACGACCCAGAAAGGUACGGCUAACUACGUG
This 497-nucleotide ribosomal RNA is filed under the name uncultured bacterium. RNAcentral describes it as "partial 16S ribosomal RNA". It matches the Rfam family "Bacterial small subunit ribosomal RNA", at positions 28 to 507 of the family's 1533-position model. The record is from RNAcentral.